AUGUGGAACUUCAAGGGAAGAUGUUGUCAUAUAUGUUUCAACGGGUUCAGCACCGGUGGAAGAACUGAUCUUUCAUGGCCAAUCUUCAGGUGGAGCUGUGGACGAGAUGAUCAAUAUUUUUCCAUGCUUGGAAAGGGUACCUGUAAGCUAAAUAUGUGCUAUCUGUUUAAAGGUGAGUCUGGUUCAAAUUCUCAGAAAGUUGAGUUGUGGUGGAAAUACCUUUUAAACGUCAUCAAUUGCAAAAUGUACUUGCAAAACAAUGGAGGGUAUCUUACCAUCCAGGUAGAUCAAGACGCAGAAUUAGACAACAUAACUUGCACUAGUUUUGAGUUGUUCAUGAUCAAGGAGAGGAGCAUCCCAAUAUUUGAAUUGGACACCAAGAAUGACAAUAUAAUCGCCAUUGCAUGGGAGCCCAGAGGCCACCAGUUCGCUGUUAUUCACGGCGACAGACCUAAUCACGAUAUAAGCAUCUACUCGAUGUGCACAUCCGACAAUAUUAGCCAUGUGUCCAGGCUCACAACACUCAGGAACGGACAUGCUAGUGCAGUAUUCUGGUCUCCCGCGAGAAAAUUCAUUGUUAUUGUUGGGAUGAAGGGUACCAAGGGCCAAUUUGAGUGCUACAAUGUUGAUGAUCUUGAGAUCAUGGCCACAGAAGAGCAUUCUAUCAUGACUGAUGUCAUGUGGGAUCCCACAACAAGCUGA
Molecule: ribosomal RNA, 702 nt
Filed under: Triticum aestivum (bread wheat)
Lineage: Eukaryota; Viridiplantae; Streptophyta; Magnoliopsida; Poales; Poaceae
Description: partial small subunit ribosomal RNA
Source: RNAcentral